Molecule: ribosomal RNA, 440 nt
Filed under: uncultured bacterium
Lineage: Bacteria
Description: partial 16S ribosomal RNA
Rfam family: Bacterial small subunit ribosomal RNA
Source: RNAcentral
CCUACGGGAGGCAGCAGUGGGGAAUAUUGCACAAUGGGGGAUACCCUGAUGCAGCGACGCCGCGUGAGUGAGGACGUAUUUCUGUAUGUAAAGCUCUAUCAGCAGGGAAGAAAAUUACGGUACCUGUCUAAGAAGCCCCGGCUAACUACGUGCCAGCAGCCGCGGUAAUACGUAGGGGGCCAGCGUUAUCCGGAUUUACUGGGUGUAAAGGGAGCGUAGACGGCUAAUCAAGUCAGAAGUGAAAACCCAGGGCUCAACCUUGGGAGUGCUUUUGAAACUGAGUAGCUAGAGUGCAGGAGAGGUAAGCGGAAUUCCUAGUGUAGCGGUGAAAUGCGUAGAUAUUAGGAGGAACACCAGUGGCGAAGGCGGCUUACUGGACUGUAACUGACGUUGAGGCUCGAAAGCGUGGGGAGCAAACAGGAUUAGAUACCCGAGUAGUC